UGUGGUCCAUUUGAAAUUUUAUUACUCUGU
This 30-nucleotide non-coding RNA is filed under the name Mus musculus (house mouse). The record is from RNAcentral. Lineage: Eukaryota; Metazoa; Chordata; Mammalia; Rodentia; Muridae.